RNAcentral lists this ribosomal RNA (777 nucleotides) under uncultured Neocallimastigales. RNAcentral describes it as "partial large subunit ribosomal RNA". It matches the Rfam family "Eukaryotic large subunit ribosomal RNA", at positions 23 to 628 of the family's 3401-position model. The record is from RNAcentral. Lineage: Eukaryota; Fungi; Neocallimastigomycota; Neocallimastigomycetes; Neocallimastigales.
AGAGAGAGACAUGCGCGCAUAUCAAUAAGCGGAGGAAAAGAAACUAACUAGAAUUCCCUCAGUAACGGCGAGUGAAGCGGGAAGAGCUCAAAUUUGAAAUCUUCAAGGUUCUACCUUGACGAAUUGUAGUUUAAAGAAGUGUUUUCUGUUGGAGUUUUGGUAAAAGUUCUUUGGAAUAGGACACCAUAGAGGGUGAGAAUCCCGUAUUUGACCAUUAUUUCCAACUUUGUGAUACACUUUCAAAGAGUCGGAUUGUUUGGGAAUGCAGUCCAAAAUGGGUGGUAAAUUUCAUCUAAAGCUAAAUACUGGCGAGAGACCGAUAGCGAACAAGUACCGUGAGGGAAAGAUGAAAAGAACUUUGAAAAGAGAGUUAAACAGUACGUGAAAUUGUCAAAAGGGAAGCGUUUGACACCAGUGUUGUUUUCUCGAAAAUCAAUUAAAAAUGGCGGGAUUUUGUGUUGUAUUGACUUUAUCAGCUUUCUGCACUUUUUUCGUGUCUUUUUUAAUGCACUUUUCGUUUAACAAGUCAACAUCAAGUUUCUUUUGUUGUAAAAGGGUCAUUGGAAGGUGGCUUUCUUUUCGGAGAAAGUGUUUAUAGCCUUUGGCCUCUGCAAUCGGAGAGGAUUGAGGUCUGCAGCGUAGAUCCUUCGGGGUUAGAUAGCAUUUGUGCUAAGUUAUAGCCUUUCAUAGACAACUUGUUGACUAUGAUCAGUCAUGUAGCUUACUCGCUUAUGCUAUUUUACCUACGCUUAGGAUGUUGAGUCGUAGAGCGCGCAG